Molecule: ribosomal RNA, 411 nt
Filed under: Verrucomicrobiota bacterium
Lineage: Bacteria; Pseudomonadati; Verrucomicrobiota
Description: Verrucomicrobia bacterium partial 16S ribosomal RNA
Rfam family: Bacterial small subunit ribosomal RNA
Source: RNAcentral
UGGGGAAUAUUGCACAAUGGACGGAAGUCUGAUGCAGCGACGCCGCGUGGGGGAUGAAGGCUUUCGGGUUGUAAACUCCUUUCAGUACAGAAGAAGCUUUAUUGUGACGGUAUGUGCAGAAGAAGCGCCGGCUAACUACGUGCCAGCAGCCGCGGUAAUACGUAGGGCGCGAGCGUUGUCCGGAAUUAUUGGGCGUAAAGAGCUCGUAGGCGGUUUGUCGCGUCUGCUGUGAAAGACCGGGGCUUAACUCCGGGGCUGCAGUGGGUACGGGCAGGCUGGAGUGCGGUAGGGGUAACCGGAAUUCCUGGUGUAGCGGUGGAAUGCGCAGAUAUCAGGAGGAACACCGGUGGCGAAGGCGGGUCUCUGGGCCGUUACUGACGCUGAGGAGCGAAAGCGUGGGGAGCGAACAGG